Small nuclear RNA from Cercocebus atys (sooty mangabey), 108 nucleotides. NCBI's taxonomy places the organism in Eukaryota, Metazoa, Chordata, Mammalia, Primates, Cercopithecidae. The record is from Ensembl.
GUGUUCACUUAGACAACAUAUAUAUUAAAGUUGGAACAAUACAGAGAAGAUUAGCAUUUGCCCCUGAGCAAAAAUGACAGGAAAAUUCAUGAAGCAUUCCACAAAUUA